Molecule: ribosomal RNA, 253 nt
Filed under: uncultured bacterium
Lineage: Bacteria
Description: partial 16S ribosomal RNA
Rfam family: Bacterial small subunit ribosomal RNA
Source: RNAcentral
AACGUAGGACGCAAGCGUUAUCCGGAGUUACUGGGCGUAAAGGGCGUGUAGGCGGCUGUUCAAGUUCGUCGUGAAAGACCCCGGCUCAACCGGGGGUGGUCGAGGGAGACUGAACAGCUGGAGGACGGUAGAGGGACAGGGAAUUCCGGGUGUAGUGGUGAAAUGCGUAGAGAUCCGGAGGAACACCAGUGGCGAAGGCGCUGUCCUGGGCCGACCCUGACGCUGGGAUGCCACUGCAUGGUGAUCGAUCGGG